UUCGAAGGCAGAGGACGGAGGAUUGAGGGUCUCUAUGGAGUUUUCAGGCACAGCAGAGGAGCCAUUGACCUUAGAGCGAGAGUUGGAUGGUGGGGACGAAGAUUGGGGCGGAGACGACGAAGACGGAGAACCUUGCCUGGGCCCUUUCUUCUUUUUCCCUUUCCCCAUCGGAGGAGGAGAGUCUUGAAACCGGCGUCGGAUUAGACGGCGGCGUGUCGCGGCUAAGAAUGUCACUUUGACGGUGGUUGUUGUAG
This 254-nucleotide long non-coding RNA is filed under the name Brassica napus (rape). RNAcentral describes it as "long non-coding RNA (BNAP_LNC016539)". The record is from RNAcentral. Lineage: Eukaryota; Viridiplantae; Streptophyta; Magnoliopsida; Brassicales; Brassicaceae.